GCCCGUGGUUGAGGAUGUGGCCUCGCACAGAGGGAACCGCUGGAUGUGGGCGCAUCCUCCGGAGGGCGGGUGCGUCCACAUUGGUAGCGAACCGGGUUAGGCCCGGGAGGGAGCGGCCCUAAGCUACACAGCGGUUGCUCUCUGUCCCCGGGGUUGAACUCGUCACGAGCUUGUGGUGCGGUAGUAAGGUUGGAACCAGGGGGGCCGCCGCCA
Molecule: signal recognition particle RNA, 213 nt
Filed under: Candidatus Geothermarchaeota archaeon
Lineage: Archaea; Thermoproteati; Candidatus Geothermarchaeota
Description: partial signal recognition particle sRNA
Rfam family: Archaeal signal recognition particle RNA
Source: RNAcentral